GGCGGCCCCUUAAGUUGGAUGUGAAAUCCUAUGGCUCAACCAUAGAACUGCAUCCAAAACUGAGGGGCUAGAGUCUGGGAGGGGAAGAUGGAAUUAGUGGUGUAGGGGUAAAAUCCGUAGAGAUCACUAGGAAUACCAAAAGCGAAGGCGAUCCUCUGGAACAGUACUGACGCUGAGGCGCGAAAGCGUGGGGAGCAAACAGGAUUAGAUACCCUGGUAGUCCACGCCCUAAACUAUGAAUGUUAGUCGUCGGGAGGCUCGUCCUCUCGGUGAUGCAGCUAACGCAUUAAACAUUCCGCCUGGGGAGUACGGUCGCAAGAUUAAAACUCAAAGGAAUAGACGGGGACCCGCACAAGUGGUGGAGCAUGUGGUUUAAUUCGAAGAUACGCGAAGAACCUUACCUGGCCUUGACAUUGAUAGAAUCUGCUAGAGAUAGCGGAGUGCCCUUCGGGGAGCUUGAAAACAGGUGCUGCACGGCUGUCGUCAGCUCGUGUCGUGAGAUGUUGGGUUAAGUCCCGCAACGAGCGCAACCCUCGUCACUAGUUACUAACGGUUCGGCCGAGGACUCUAGUGAGACUGCCUUCGUAAGGAGGAGGAAGGUGAGGACGACGUCAAGUCAUCAUGGCCCUUACGGCCAGGGCGACACACGUGCUACAAUGGGAUGUACAAUGAGACGCAAUACCGCGAGGUGGAGCAAAUCUAUAAAGCAUCUCUCAGUUCGGAUUGUAGUCUGCAACUCGACUACAU
RNAcentral lists this ribosomal RNA (747 nucleotides) under uncultured Campylobacterota bacterium. RNAcentral's name for it is "bacterial SSU rRNA". It matches the Rfam family "Bacterial small subunit ribosomal RNA", at positions 574 to 1321 of the family's 1533-position model. Lineage: Bacteria; Pseudomonadati; Campylobacterota. The record is from RNAcentral.